CAAAACUCUUUUUGUAUACCCCCUCGCGGGUUUUUUUAUAAUCUGAGCCUUCUCGGCGCCUCUCGUAGGCGUUUCGAAAAUGAAUCAAAACUUUCAACAACGGAUCUCUUGGUUCUGGCAUCGAUGAAGAACGCAGCGAAAUGCGAUAAGUAAUGUGAAUUGCAGAAUUCAGUGAAUCAUCGAAUCUUUGAACGCACAUUGCGCCCGCCAGUAUUCUGGCGGGCAUGCCUGUCCGAGCGUCAUUUCAACCCUCGAACCCCUCCGGGGGGUCGGCGUUGGGGAUCGGCCCUCCCUUAGCGGGUGGCCGUCUCCGAAAUACAGUGGCGGUCUCGCCGCAGCCUCUCCUGCGCAGUAGUUUGCACACUCGCAUCGGGAGCGCGGCGCGUCCACAGCCGUUAAACACCCAACUUCUGAAAUGUUGACCUCGGAUCAGGUAGGAAUACCCGCUGAACUUAAGCAUAUCAAUAAGCGGAGGAAAAAAAACCA
RNAcentral lists this ribosomal RNA (486 nucleotides) under Trichoderma harzianum. RNAcentral describes it as "eukaryotic LSU rRNA". The stretch from base 89 to 242 matches the Rfam family "5.8S ribosomal RNA". The record is from RNAcentral. Lineage: Eukaryota; Fungi; Ascomycota; Sordariomycetes; Hypocreales; Hypocreaceae.